GGAGUUAGCCGGUGCUUCUUCUGUGAGUGAUGUCCUUCCUGCCGGCUAUUAACCCGCAGGCCUUCUUCCUCACUGAAAGUGCUUUACAACCCGAAGGCCUUCUUCACACACGCGGCAUGGCUGGAUCAGGGUUGCCCCCAUUGUCCAAUAUUCCCCACUGCUGCCUCCCGUAGGAGUCUGGGCCGUGUCUCAGUCCCAGUGUGGCUGAUCAUCCUCUCAGACCAGCUACGGAUCGUCGCCUUGGUGAGCCGUUACCUCACCAACCAGCUAAUCCGACAUAGGCUCAUCCGAUAGCGCGAGGCCCGAAGGUCCCCCGCUUUCCCCCGUAGGGCGUAUGCGGUAUUAGCCUGGGUUUCCCCAGGUUAUCCCCCACUACCGGGCAGAUUCCUAUGCAUUACUCACCCGUCCGCCGCUCGCCACCAGGGAGCAAGCUCCCCGUGCUGCCGCUCGACUUGCAUGUGUUAGGCCUGCCGCCAGCGUUCAAUCUGAGCUAGAAUCAAACUCUGA
RNAcentral lists this ribosomal RNA (507 nucleotides) under uncultured bacterium. Its description in RNAcentral is "partial 16S ribosomal RNA". The record is from RNAcentral.